CCUACGGGUGGCAGCAGUAGGGAAUAUUGCUCAAUGGGGGAAACCCUGAAGCAGCAACGCCGCGUGAAGGAUGAAGGUCUUCGGAUUGUAAACCUCUUUGUUAGAGGAGAUAAUGACAGUAUCUUAAGCAUCAGUACAUGUAAACUCCGUGCAAGCAGCGGCGGUAAUACGGAGGGUGCAAGCGUUACUCGGAAGCACUGGGCGUAAAGAGCGCGUAGGCGGGAUGGCAAGUCAGAUGUGAAAUCCUAUGGCUUAACCAUAGAACUGCAUUUGAAACUGUCAUUCUUGAGUAUGGGAGAGGUAGGUGGAAUUCGUGGUGUAGGGGUAAAAUCCGUAGAGAUCAAGAGGAACACUGAUUGCGAAGGCGACCUGCUAGAACAUAACUGACGCUGAUGCGCGAAAGCGUGGGUAGCAAACAGGAUUAGAUACCCCAGUAGUC
This 439-nucleotide ribosomal RNA is filed under the name uncultured bacterium. Its description in RNAcentral is "partial 16S ribosomal RNA". It matches the Rfam family "Bacterial small subunit ribosomal RNA", at positions 338 to 795 of the family's 1533-position model. The record is from RNAcentral.